RNAcentral lists this long non-coding RNA (1832 nucleotides) under Bemisia tabaci. Its description in RNAcentral is "lncRNA ENSSSA1UGG002319". The record is from RNAcentral. Lineage: Eukaryota; Metazoa; Arthropoda; Insecta; Hemiptera; Aleyrodidae.
AUGAGUGAUCACUCACAAGUUGUGACUCCAUCAGAUUUUGACUCAGGAAGUGAAACUCAACUGUCAUUGUCAUCAAGAUCUGAAUGCCUUCUAGCACCUCAAUUCCCAGUGAAUCACAGUUUUUUAAGCAGGGAGAAUGCGGAUGCUCAAAACAAAAUUACACAGAUUGAAGAGAAAAAUUUGCUCUUAUCAGUGGAGAAUGAAAUUUUGGAGAAGUACCUCUUGAAAGUUGAUCCUGCAUCAAUUGAUGGAAUGGAUAAACUAUUAGAAAAAGUGAAUGAAAACAUAGCCAAAUCUCAAAUCAUCGUCCAAUCUCUGGAGCCUAUAUCAAGAGCUGGGAGUCGAACUUCUCAGAUAUCAAAGGCUGAUUCUGUCCACUCUGUUGGACCUACGUCGACUUUUACUCUGCCUGCGUCUGAAUCUCUCAAAAUACCACACAUAAGCUAUGAGUUUCGGCACGAUAUUGUCAGUCGAGAAAUGAACAGCAUGAAAUCAAAACUGAACAACUUGAUUGUCAAAAUGAGAAGGCAAAAAUCUAAUAUCACUGCCUGUUUGGAGGAAGUUGCAAUUCGAAUCAAAGACUUGACGGAAUACACAAAAAAAUUGAUGCUGCUUUCAAAGUCUGAUUCUAAAUCCAAAAUUAAUGUCGGCGUCUAUGUAGGUUUUAUGAGAGGUGUGUUGAAGCAAAUAAUCCAGAACAUUAACCAAGCAAAAACAAACAAAACUAUUUUAAGUAUCGAGAAAAAGAAAGUACUGCUGAGAAUGGAAGAUAAGGAAGAGCUAAGUUCAACUAUUUAUGCUAUCGACUUUGACGUUUUGGAGAUACAGAAUCAAGAAUUGCGCAAACUGCUACACAAGAAGUGCCAUUGUUUAGCUUUGACGAAACGUUUUUUAGGCAGCGCUGAAAAAUCCUUGACAGCUUCAGUCAAUUUAGUUGAUUCUUUAAGUCAGGAGCUGAACAGUAUCAGGAAACACAUCAAACUUAAUCGAAAGAAACUUAUGAACCUUCGUAGGAAAAGGAAAAAACUCGAGUCGGAAAUCAAACAGAAAAGAAAGGAAGCUCUAAUCUCGGAAAACCAUGUCAUCAAAAGCUCUGGCAAAAGUAUAGAGGCUUUAGAUGUGGUGUCAUAUGCAUUAACUAAACUUUGCGUCAAUGAUCUGGAACGGAAACUGAAAAUCAGUUCAAGGAAGCACAAUCUCAAAUUGGGAUUGCUCAGUUGUGUGAGGCAUCAUUUUAAAGUUCUAACCAACAAAUCAAACAUGACCUAUAGAAAUUCCCGGGUUUUGUAAUUAUCAACAAAAAAAAAAAUGUUCUUUGAAGUGUACAAGUAUCCUCUACUUAUCUUGUAUGAUUUCAAUUAAAUUAAAUGAAAUUGAAUUUGAUCAUCUUGCUUUAUUUUUUUUGUUCUCUUAUUAGAACGCAGUAAUGAGGAGUUGAUUUAAGUUCAGACAAUGUGAAAUUAAUCAAUUUAUUUUGAAGCCACUGUCAAACGAGCAGGUCGACUGUAGAGUCAAUGACAUUUGCCAGCAAAAUUGACAUUCUGUGGGCAUAUUUGCAACCCUGCCGGACUGUACAUUUGGGACUGCUUGUGUGAGAGGAGCUUAAACCUUCAUCAUUUUAGUUUCAGAAUUGUUUCAGAGAUUACCUCUAAAUGUUUUCAUUACCUUAGUACCUACUCAAUGUUGAAUUCUGUAAUGUAAUUCUGGUAGUGUGCCUAAUGUACAAUCAAGAUUUAGCGAUUGAUUUAAUAGCCCCAAUACUUAAGAUCUAAUUUUAAUUUUUAUAAAUGAAUGGCAGCAUCAUAAUGACACUGCCAUUCACUACCACCUAC